This 492-nucleotide ribosomal RNA is filed under the name uncultured bacterium. RNAcentral describes it as "partial 16S ribosomal RNA". It matches the Rfam family "Bacterial small subunit ribosomal RNA", at positions 29 to 507 of the family's 1533-position model. The record is from RNAcentral.
AGUGAACGCUGGCGGUAGGCCUAACACAUGCAAGUCGAACGGCAGCACAGUAAGAGCUUGCUCUUACGGGUGGCGAGUGGCGGACGGGUGAGGAAUACAUCGGAAUCUACUUUUUCGUGGGGGAUAACGUAGGGAAACUUACGCUAAUACCGCAUACGACCUACGGGUGAAAGCAGGGGAUCUUCGGACCUUGCGCGAUUGAAUGAGCCGAUGUCGGAUUAGCUAGUUGGCGGGGUAAAGGCCCACCAGGGCGACGAUCCGUAGCUGGUCUGAGAGGAUGAUCAGCCACACUGGAACUGAGACACGGUCCAGACUCCUACGGGAGGCAGCAGUGGGGAAUAUUGGACAAUGGGCGCAAGCCUGAUCCAGCCAUACCGCGUGGGUGAAGAAGGCCUUCGGGUUGUAAGGCCCUUUUGUUGGGAAAGAAAAGCAGCAGGUUAAUACCCCGCUGUUCUGACGGUACCCAAAGAAUAAGCACCGGCUAACUUCGUG